UGGCCGCGGGANUAGAGUUUGAUCCUGGCUCAGAUUGAACGCUGGCGGCAGGCUUAACACAUGCAAGUCGUGCGAGAAAGUACCUUCGGGUGCGAGUAGAGCGGCGGACGGGUGAGUAACGCGUAGGAAUCUACCUAGUAGAAGGGGAUAGCCCGAGGAAACUCGGAUUAAUACCGUAUACCUCCUUAGGGAGAAAGAGGGCUUAGCUUUGAUGCUCCCGCUAUUAGAUGAGCCUGCGUAAGAUUAGCUUGUUGGUGAGGUAAUGGCUCACCAAGGCGACGAUCUUCAGCUGGUCUGAGAGGACGAUCAGCCACAUUGGGGCUGAGACACGGCCCAGACUCCUACGGGAGGCAGCAGUGGGGAAUAUUGGACAAUGGGCGCAAGCCUGAUCCAGCCAUACCGCGUGUGUGAAGAAGGCUUUCGGGUUGUAAAGCACUUUAAGUAAGGAGGAAAAGAUUGUAGUUAAUACCUGCAAUCCGUGACGUUACUUACAGAAUAAGGACCGGCUAAUUCCGUGCCAGCAGCCGCGGUAAUACGGUAGGUCCAAGCGUUAAUCGGAAUUACUGGGCGUAAAGCGCGCGUAGGUGGUUUUUUAAGUUGGAUGUGAGAGCCCUGGGCUCAACCUAGGAACUGCAUCCAAAACUAGAUGACUAGAGUACGAAAGAGGGAAGUAGAAUUCACAGUGUAGCGGUGGAAUGCGUAGAUAUUGUGAAGAAUACCAAUGGCGAAGGCAGCUUUCUGGUUCUGUACUGACACUGAGGUGCGAAAGCGUGGGUAGCGAACAGGAUUAGAUACCCUGGUAGUCCACGCCGUAAACGAUGACNACUAGCUGUUGGGAGACAAGAUCUCUCAGUGGCGCAGCUAACGCUUUAAGUUGUCCGCCUGGGGAGUACGGCCGCAAGGUUAAAACUCAAAUGAAUUGACGGGGACCCGCACAAGCGGUGGAGC
Molecule: ribosomal RNA, 948 nt
Filed under: uncultured marine microorganism
Description: bacterial SSU rRNA
Rfam family: Bacterial small subunit ribosomal RNA
Source: RNAcentral